Molecule: long non-coding RNA, 315 nt
Organism: Portunus trituberculatus (swimming crab)
Lineage: Eukaryota; Metazoa; Arthropoda; Malacostraca; Decapoda; Portunidae
Exons: 3
Source: RefSeq, a predicted model, not a curated record
CGGCGCCACAGUGACACGCCACGCGACUCACGCAACACGCACACGCUGAAGAGGAGGAGGAGGAAGAGGAGGAGGAGGAGGAGUGGUGAGGACACGUGCAUCCACUUCCAGAUAUCGUCCACAAGUCCACCUGAUCUAUCUGAGUGACAUGAAGGAGUCCAGUGGCGAGGGUCUUGUCUUUCCUUCACCUCACCUCAAGUCAUUCCAUAGCAAGACAUCCUACAAGACCUCAAUGCCCAAGACACCAAGACAUCACCACACACUGCCACUCCUCACGUUCUGGCAGUGCCGUUGCCCAGUGCAGAGUUGCCAUUA